CCUACGGGAGGCAGCAGUGAGGAAUAUUGGUCAAUGGGCGGAAGCCUGAACCAGCCAAGUCGCGUGCGGGAUGAAGGCCCUACGGGUCGUAAACCGCUUUUGCACGGGGAUAAAACCCUCCACUUGUGGCGGUCUGCCGGUACCGUUCGAAUAAGGGCCGGCUAAUUCCGUGCCAGCAGCCGCGGUAAUACGGAAGGCCCGAGCGUUAUCCGGAUUCAUUGGGGUAAAAGGGGGCGUAGGCGGGCGUUCAAGUCAGCUGUAAAAUGGCGCGGCUCAACCGCGCCUCGCAGUUGAAACUGGACGCCUUGAGUUAACAACAGGCAGGCGGAAUUCGUGGUGUAGCGGUGAAAUGCAUAGAUAGCACGAGGAACCCCGAUUGCGAAGGCAGCCUGCCGGGGUGCGACUGACGCUGAGGCUCGAAGGUGCGGGUAUCAAACAGGAUUAGAUACCCCUGUAGUC
Molecule: ribosomal RNA, 459 nt
Filed under: uncultured bacterium
Lineage: Bacteria
Description: partial 16S ribosomal RNA
Rfam family: Bacterial small subunit ribosomal RNA
Source: RNAcentral